GCGGAUGUGGCGAAAUUGGCACACGCGCCAGGUUUAGGUCCUGGUGGGAAACCAUGCAGGUUCGAAUCCUGUCAUCCGCACCA
RNAcentral lists this transfer RNA (83 nucleotides) under Oscillospiraceae bacterium. RNAcentral describes it as "tRNA-Leu". It matches the Rfam family "tRNA". From Rfam's summary of the family: Transfer RNA (tRNA) molecules are approximately 80 nucleotides in length. The record is from RNAcentral. Lineage: Bacteria; Bacillati; Bacillota; Clostridia; Eubacteriales; Oscillospiraceae.